CUACAGUAGGACCUUGUUGAUUAUGAUUUUAAAUACAACAUUGUGGACUUGUCAAUCCCAAACUCCCAAUCUAUGCCUCACUAACUCCAUGCCAAAAAAUUCCAGCUGAAACACAUCCUUUGUGCCAGGCCUUGUGCAUGCAAUGCCUCUAGUCUUCCUAAAGCCCUUCUAACUCAGGAUUAUGGCAAUUAUUUAGUGCUCACCAGGUACCAGGAAUUUACCUGGUGUGAAGAAACAGAUAAAAGAAACCUUUCUAACCUUAAGAAUCUAUCUCGCAUUCUAAUGAGAGAGAAAAAGAGAGAGAGAGAUGAGAAAACAUUCGCCAUA
Molecule: long non-coding RNA, 327 nt
Organism: Odocoileus virginianus texanus
Lineage: Eukaryota; Metazoa; Chordata; Mammalia; Artiodactyla; Cervidae
Source: RefSeq, a predicted model, not a curated record